CCUACGGGUGGCUGCAGUGAGGAAUAUUGGUCAAUGGACGCAAGUCUGAACCAGCAAAGUAGCGUGAAGGAUGACUGCCCUAUGGUUUGUAAACUUCUUUUAUAAGGGAAUAAAACGAGGCGCAUGUGCCUUUUUGCAUGUACUUUAUGAAUAAGGAUCGGCUAACUCCGUGCCUGCAGCCGCAGUAAUACGGAGGAUCCGAGCGUUAUCCGGAUUUAUUGGGUUUAAAGGGAGCGUAAAUGGGUUGUUAAGUCAGUUGUGAAAGUUUGCGGCUCAACCGUAAAAUUGCAAUUGAUACUGGCAGUCCUGAGUACAGUUGAGGUAGGCGGAAUUCGUGGUGGAGCGGUGAAAUGC
This 354-nucleotide ribosomal RNA is filed under the name uncultured bacterium. Its description in RNAcentral is "partial 16S ribosomal RNA". It matches the Rfam family "Bacterial small subunit ribosomal RNA", at positions 338 to 689 of the family's 1533-position model. The record is from RNAcentral.